RNAcentral lists this ribosomal RNA (1230 nucleotides) under metagenome. RNAcentral's name for it is "bacterial SSU rRNA". It matches the Rfam family "Bacterial small subunit ribosomal RNA", at positions 284 to 1520 of the family's 1533-position model. The record is from RNAcentral.
UAGCUGGUCUGAGAGAUGGUCAGCCGGACUGGGACUGAGAUACGGCCCAGACUCCUACGGGGGGCAGCAAUUAGGAAUCUUGCACAAUGGGCGAAAGCCUGAUGCAGCGACGCCGCGUGAAGGAUGACGGCCUUCGGGUUGUAAACUUCUUUUAUCAGGGAAGAACACAAUGACGGUACCUGAUGAAUAAGCCCCGGCUAACUACGUGCCAGCAGCCGCGGUAAUACGUAGGGGGCGAGCGUUGUCCGAAUUUACUGGGCGUAAAGCGCGCGUAGGCGGACCUUUAAGUUGGGGGUGAAAUCUCAAGGCUUAACCUUGAAACUGCCUCCAAAACUGGAGGUCUUGAGGUAUGGAGAGGGAAGUGGAAUUCCUGGUGUAGCGGUGAAAUGCGUAGAUAUCAGGAGGAACACCCGUGGCGAAGGCGGCUUCCUGGCCAUAUCCUGACGCUGAGGUGCGAAAGCUAGGGGAGCGAACGGGAUUAGAUACCCCGGUAGUCCUAGCCGUAAACGAUGGAUACUAGGUGUUAGUGGUAUCGACCCCACUAGUGCCGCAGCUAACGCAAUAAGUAUCCCGCCUGGGGAGUACGGCCGCAAGGUUGAAACUCAAAGGAAUUGACGGGGGCCCGCACAAGCGGUGGAGCAUGUGGUUUAAUUCGUCAUUAACCGAAGAACCUUACCAGGGUUUGACAUGUAGGGAAUCCUGAUGAAAGUCGGGAGUGCCCCCUAAAGGGGAGCCCUAACACAGGUGUUGCAUGGCUGUCGUCAGCUCGUGUCGUGAGAUGCUGGGUUAAGUCCCGCAACGAGCGCAACCCUCAUCCGAUGUUGCCAGCGGGUAAAGCCGGGAACUCUUCGGAAACUGCCUGCGUAAGUGGGAGGAAGGUGGGGAUGACGUCAAGUCGGCAUGGCCCUUACGCCCUGGGCUACACACAUGCUACAAUGGACGUUAAACAGAGGGAACCGAUACCGCGAGGUGGGGGAAAUCUCAAAAAUACGUCCUCAGUUCGGAUUGUAGUCUGCAACUCGACUACAUGAAGUCGGAAUCGCUAGUAACCGCAGGUCAGCUAAACUGCGGUGAAUACGUUCCCGGGCCUUGUACACACCGCCCGUCACGUCACCUGAGUCGUCUGCACCCGAAGUCGAUGGCCCAACUCGCAAGAGAGGGAGUCGCCGAAGGUGCGGGGGGUAAGGGGGACGAAGUCGUAACAAGGUAGCCGUAUCGGAGGUGCGGCUG